Molecule: ribosomal RNA, 492 nt
Filed under: uncultured bacterium
Lineage: Bacteria
Description: partial 16S ribosomal RNA
Rfam family: Bacterial small subunit ribosomal RNA
Source: RNAcentral
AGUGAACGCUGGCGGUAGGCCUAACACAUGCAAGUCGAACGGCAGCACAGUAAUAGCUUUCCCCUACGGGUGGCGAGUGGAGUACGGGGGAGGUAUACAUCGGAAUCUACCUUUUCGUGGGGGAUAACGUAGGGAAACUUACGCUAAUACCGCAUACGACCUACGGGUGAAAGCAGGGGAUCUUCGGACCUUGCGCGAUUGAAUGAGCUGAUGUCUGAUUAGCUAGUUGGCGGGUUAAAGGCCCACCAAGGCGACGAUGCGUAGCUGGUCUGAGAGGAUGAUCAGCGACACUGGAACUGAGACACGGUCCAGACUCCUACGGGAGGCAGCAGUGGGGAAUAUUGGACGAUGGGCGCAAGCCUGAUCCAGCCAUACCGCGUGGGUGCAGAAGGCCUUCGGGUUGUAAAGCCCUUUUGUUGGGAAAGAAAAGCAGCAGGUUAAGACCCCGCUGUUCUGACGGUACCCGAAGAAUAAGCACCGGCUAACUUCGUG